RNAcentral lists this non-coding RNA (28 nucleotides) under Mus musculus (house mouse). Lineage: Eukaryota; Metazoa; Chordata; Mammalia; Rodentia; Muridae. The record is from RNAcentral.
UGAGUGAAUUAUAAUCAAAAGGAUACUA